AUGCCAAGGAGCAGGGCGCCAAGACAGAGGGUGGCGCUGAGGGCUGAGCCCACCCCCACCCCAGGCCCUGGCUCUGCGACCUGGGUGGGCCCAGCUGUGCAUCCCCUCCCUGGGUGGGGACGGGUGGCCAGCUGCCCACCAGACAGUGCCCCCACCCUGAGACUCCUGAAAGCAAUUAGUGAGGCCAGCCCCCAGCCGGGCAGGUCUCACGCAGGCGUUGCCCUGGUUCCACGAGUCCCGAGUCUCUGCCAGAGGACAUUUCAAUCCCCGCUGCAUCCGACCCUCCUGCAGGGGGAACGUUGCACACAUGGGAGCAGGCCCCACGUGGCGGGGGGGUGGGGGGCACAGCCCAGGAGGCGCCCCAGCGCAGGGCUGACGGGCCCCUCGACCCCAGGGAACAGGGGUGGUGGCAGCUUCGGGACCAGAAAAAACAUGUGGUGGGUUCCCCUGGCCUUCGCUGCCAGACUGGCUGCUGCCUGGUGGCCGCCCAGUGUCCUCCGUGCCUGCCUGGAAUCCCACCUCAGCCCCCCGCCUGGGAGAACCCCACCUUGCUGUCUGGGGACCUCGAUACCCUGCUCCCCAGCCUGCCCUGUCCCACCUGCCCAGCCUGGGGGUCAGAGGGCACCUGAGGCCUGGGUGGCAUCAAGCCCUCUGUGCCUGUUGUACAGGCCCCAGGCCGUCGCUUUUGUGCAGGAGGCUGGCUGCAGAGCUGGGGACGGGACUGCUGUAAAAACGGAAACAGCCCCCAGACCUCGUGACCGGAGUGGAGCUGGGCUGCUGCGCCCGCCGUGCCAUGGCCCCUGGGGAGUCUGGAGCCCAGGCGUGGCCGAGGGCCAGAGCUCUCUGAGCCUCCUGUCCCCUCCCACCACCACCUGGGUGGGGGAGUGCCUGUCUGUGCACCCGUUAGCGGGCACUUGCUCUAUGCUCACUGGGCCUUCAAGUUGGAACUGCGGAGAGACAAGGUCAGGUGCCCAGCAGGCUAGUGCCUUGCGGGCUGGGGGGCUGGGUUCAGGGGUUCUUGGGAUGGACUGGGGCCAGGGCCUCGUGGAGCAUCUUGGGGACCCCUGA
RNAcentral lists this long non-coding RNA (1068 nucleotides) under Sus scrofa (pig). Its description in RNAcentral is "lncRNA (ENSSSCG00070008149.1)". The record is from RNAcentral. Lineage: Eukaryota; Metazoa; Chordata; Mammalia; Artiodactyla; Suidae.